This 28-nucleotide small RNA is filed under the name Bombyx mori (domestic silkworm). Its description in RNAcentral is "ovarian small RNA-10258". Lineage: Eukaryota; Metazoa; Arthropoda; Insecta; Lepidoptera; Bombycidae. The record is from RNAcentral.
AACAUACGGUACAAAAUACAGAGGGAAC